UUUCUUCGAGAAACAGAGAGGAGCGGUGGGGCGUGAGGAGAGAAGAAAGAAGAAGAAGAGGGAAAAGAAGAGAGGAGGAAGAGGGAGAAGAGAAGAAAAGAAGAAGAAGAAGAAGAAGAGAGGGAGAGGCAGCAGCAGCAGCUAGGGCUGCUGCACCUCUGUUUCCAGCAGGUGGAAACAGAGGAGAGUAUGUGUGGGGCGUUGGGGAGGAGAAGAGAAGAAGAAGAAGGAGAAGAAGAAGAAGAAGAAGAAGAAGAGAGGAGGAUAGCUGCAGCAGGGCUGCAGCGAGGAGGUGUGUGGCGUUGGGGAGGAAAAGGGAAGAGGAGAAGAAGAGAAGGAGAAGAAGAGGGAAAAGAGAGGGAAGAGGGAGAGGAGCGAGAGGUGGCAGCAGCUAGGGCUGCAGCACCUCUGUUUCCAGCAGGUGGAAACAGAGGUGAGGUGUGGGGCGUUCGAAGAGGAGAGGAAGGAGAAGAGGAAGAGAAGAAGAAGAGGAAGCAGGAGAAGAGGUUGUGAUACCUCUGUUUCCUGCAGAGGAAACAGAGGAGAGGGUGUGUGUGACGCCGGGGAGGAGGAGGGAAGAAGAAGAGGAGAAGAAGAGAAGGGGAAGGAGGAGCUGCGGCUGCGGCAGUGGAAGCUGCAGCUGGAAGAGAAGGAGAGGAAGAGAUGGUGAGGAAGAAGAGAAGAAGUAGAAGCGGGUGAAGAGGCGGCACCUCUGUUUCCUGCAGGAGGAAACAGAGGAAAGGAGGUGCUGUUCGUCGGGGAGAAGAAGGGGAGGAAGGAGAAGAAGAGAAGAAGAAGAAAGGAAGGAGGAGGAAGAGGAGAAGGGAAAGAAGUAGCUGCGGUUGCGGCUGUGGCAGCUGCAGCUGUGGCAGGGAAAGAGGAAGAGGAAGGAAGAAGGGAAGGGGAGGAAGAAGAGAAGGGGAAGAGAAGGGGCUGCGGCUGCUGCGAUGGCAGCUGCAGUUGGAAGAGAAGAAGGAGAGGAAGAUGAGCAGGGGAGGAAGAAGAGGCUGCGGCCGUGGCUGAGGCUGCGACUGCAGCAGUGCAGCUGGGAAAGAAGAGAAGGAAAGGAAGAAGAAGAGAAAGGGGAGGAGAGGAAGAAGAGAGGAAGAGGAGAAGGGGUGGCAGCUGCGGCAGUGGCAGCUGCAGUUGGAAGAGAAGAAAGGAGAGGAAAUAGAGUAGCGGAGGAAGAAGAGGCUGCGGUUGUGGUGGCUGCGACCAUGGUUGCGACUGCGACUACGACUGCGGCAGUUGCAGCUGGGAAAGAAAAGAAAGGAAAGAGAGAAAAAGGGGCUGCGGACGGGAUUGCGACCGCAGCGGCAGCGACUGUGUAUGCAGCAGCUGUGUCUGCGAAAGAAGAGGAGGAAGGAAGGUAGUGCGGUGGAAGGGGCUGCGAUUGUACCAGCGGUAGCGGCGGCGGCUGUGGUAGCUGCGUUUGGGAAAAAAAAGAAGGAAUGAGAGUAAGAAAGAGUAGGUGACUGUGCCUCGAUAUUCGAGACGUGGUGUAGUUGCGAAGAAAGGAAGAAAACGGGAGCACAAAACGAAACAGAGAGAGGACACGGAGGAAAAGUAGAAGGAUUUGGGCUAGCACCUUCUUAGAAUCUUCGGAUCGAAAUCUUUGAAAGGUCAGCGUGUCACUCUUCGAGAUGUUUGAUUUGGGCUGAGGCAAUGGAUAGCUAUUCAAAAUUAUGGGCAAGUCUUGUUGGUUGUUAUGUUAUUGUUGUAUAAGCAUAUUUUGUAUGUAAUGAAAUGUUGUUGAUGAAUCGAAAUGGAUAUACUGUGUAAAAGUGUUAGAAGAUCUCUCUUAUUUGGAAUUUCGAAAUGUUAAGCCUAAUUUAUGAUGAUAUGACCUUGUGGUGAAUA
Molecule: long non-coding RNA, 1860 nt
Organism: Musa acuminata AAA Group (dessert banana)
Lineage: Eukaryota; Viridiplantae; Streptophyta; Magnoliopsida; Zingiberales; Musaceae
Exons: 2
Source: RefSeq, a predicted model, not a curated record